UUAAAUAACUCUUAAUCCAUAAUAUAUAUAGACCUGAUUCUUUUUGGAGGUUAAAUACCACAUAACAAGCUACACAUAACAACCUUUAAACAACAAAACGCAUGAUCGAACAAAGAGUUAUAGCCUCUGACAUUUGGUGAAAAAUAACAGAAUUCGGUUUUUCCAACUUGCUUAAAUCUUCAAAUUCGUGCACUUUGAUGUUAUGGGUCUGUGUUUUUACAACCCAGAACAUUAAUAGACUCCCUAUUACACUACUUUAAACAAUCAAUUGCAUCAAUUAACAUNNN
Molecule: long non-coding RNA, 287 nt
Filed under: Panax ginseng (ginseng)
Lineage: Eukaryota; Viridiplantae; Streptophyta; Magnoliopsida; Apiales; Araliaceae
Description: long non-coding RNA (PGIN_LNC017246)
Source: RNAcentral